Long non-coding RNA from Rhea pennata, 354 nucleotides. RefSeq lists it as uncharacterized. NCBI's taxonomy places the organism in Eukaryota, Metazoa, Chordata, Aves, Rheiformes, Rheidae. The record is from RefSeq and is a predicted model, not a curated record. The transcript has 3 exons.
GAGAAUACCGCCGGCAGCAGACGCGCGCACUGCCGCGCCUCUCCGCUCUUUCGGCCGCAGGGUAGUCCCCGGAAGGGGGCAUCUCCAAGAGAAGCGGCUAGACCCAGCGACCCAGCCGUUCGCUUUGGUCGCCACCUGUGAGGCGAGCAUCCGAGCGCAACGGGAGUCCGGGAGCUGUAUCGAGAAGAGCUGGAACCAACGACAGCAAAUGCUGACGGAGAGGGAAGCCGGACGAACGGCGUGUAGGGGAUUAAUACCCAAGGGACGGGGUUGAAACGAGGAGGCAGAAACGCAGCGGACCCUCGGUAUCCCCAGCAGCUGCCAGGGUAGCGGCAGGUGUUCCGCCACGGGCGA